This 3457-nucleotide long non-coding RNA is filed under the name Arachis ipaensis. RNAcentral's name for it is "long non-coding RNA (AIPA_LNC000076)". The record is from RNAcentral. Lineage: Eukaryota; Viridiplantae; Streptophyta; Magnoliopsida; Fabales; Fabaceae.
CUAAUGACAGUAUUAUUUGAGAUUUGAUACUAUGAAACAGAUAAUGAGGACACCUGAAAACUGCUGUCUAGAAGAUGCACUUCAUGUUAUUUGCUCUGCAGAAGAAAUUUCUUGUGCGGAUAUUCUCAUUAACUGUUUUAGUGUCUAAUGCAAAUAUCACCCUUGUUAGCCCCCUUGAGCCUUUAAAUCCCCUUUUUAUUCUAUUAGCCACACUACUAGCCUUAAGCUGAAAAACAAAUAAAAAUCCCAAGUUGAAUCCUUGGUUAGCUUAAGAUAGAAAAUUAUGAAUAGUUUAAAUGUGGGAAACCCAUUGGGAACAUGGAUGAUAAAAACAAAAGGUAGAAAAGUUGAAAAGAAUAAAGCAACUCAAAAUAGGAAAUUUUGGGAAGCAUGUUCGUAAAAAAUCAAAUUAAUUAAAUUACCAUGUGCAUUUAAAAAAAAAAAGUUAUUUUUCAGUAUUUAAUAAAGGGAAUACAAAAGAAUUCCCCAAACGCAAAAUAAAAGCAAUGCACAUGGGAUAAAAAUAAAAAUUGAAACAUGAGCAUGUAACAUCCAAAAGUGGGAAAAAUAUGGGAAAAUAGGUAAAAAAGUUUUGUGUUACUAAGUAUGUAUGUUAGGUGAGAUCUUAGUCUAAUUAAGGAUUCACUUAUUAGCUCACUUAGCCUUAUACAGAUAUCCUUACCUUUACCUUGGCCCCAUUACAACCUUAAUUAAAGACCUCAUGAUUUUUGGUAUGACUGUAUUCUAUAAUUAUUGAUUGGUUAGAUGAAGAAUAAAGUUAUAGAAAAGAAGAAUAAAAAGAGGAAUAGAGUGAUUAACCCAAUAAACACUGAGUGACUAGAGAGUAAACACAAAUCCAGUGAGGGCUCAAUAGCUCAUUAACAUUUAUCUCUGUUUGAAUUAUCUAAUUGUCUUGCAAGUUCAUAAAAUACUUUUUCUCCCAUCUCAAUUGUAAAAGUGCUUAUUGAUUAUCUAAGGCUUGGCUAUAUAUACAUAUAUGACUCCUUGAGAAUGUGAAUUAAUUUAACUACCUGUAAGCUUUAUAUAUGAGUGAAUAAAUUAGAAUUGCAUGUUACAUUUAGGUAGUUGCAUUUAAGAUUAGAUUGCAUUGCAUAACAUUCCAUCACUUUAACCUUACUUAUUACCUUGGAUUUAGUAUGAGGACAUGCUAUUGUUUAAGUGUGGGGAGGUUGAUAAACCCAUAUUUUAUGAUAUACUUUGUGCUUAAUUUGAGUGAUUUAUUCAAUCCUUCACCCACUUAUUCAUAUUAAUUGCAUGGUUUUACUUCUCCUUCCUUAUUAUGUCACUACAAGAAAAAAGGCUUAUGGCCACGCUUUUAUGAGGGUGGCGAUUGAAUAGAGAUUUGGCCACAUUUUUUUUGCUACGCUUCAAAAGCGUAGCGAAAAGGGUCAAUGGCCACGCUUUUAUGAGAGUGGCAAUUGAUGCGAGAUUUGGCCACAUUUUUUUUUGCUACGCUUAAAAAGCGUAGCCGUAGAGAGAAACCGGCAUGCUUUUAAAGCGUAGCAACAGGGUUUUAUUUUGUAGCGUUUAUAAAGCGUAGCCGUUUCCUACAAGCCUUUUGGCACGCUUCAAAAGCGUGGCCAAAAGGUGCCCAAAAAAAAAAUUUAAGAAGCUCGUACACCCUUCUGAGUUAUAAGUUCAAAUUAAAAAACCACCUUCUUCCUUCAAAGAAAGACCUAACCCUUCAAAAGCCCCAACGCGACGAUGCCACUCCGUUAUGCCUCGCCGUAAACCUAACCCUUCUUCAUUGUGCCUCGCCCUCACCGCGACGACGACACUCCGACGACAUUCGGACGACACUCCGUGCAGAACGUCGCUGUGCUCGCAAUCCCUAACCCUCAUUCUGCGGUGACUCCCUCCGCUCACUUGCCGUCGCAAACCCGCCGUCGAUGCUCCCUCCGCCGCCGCUCCCUUCCGUCGCUGCAAACCCUAACCCCUCAAGCCAGCAGGUAGCAGCGUCUUCAUCCCCUGCGCCAUCGCGUCAAGCCCCUUCGCCCUCCAUCGUCGAGGCCCGUCCAGCCGUCGUCAUCCAGCGCCUCUCACUUUCUGGCAGCCACCACGUCUUCCUCCACUCCUCCCUGCACUCUGCCACUCUCUGUCUGCAUCAUCAAGAAUGGAGCCUCUAACUCAGGUUGGUUCUUGAUUUUUUGUUCUCUGAUUUCUCACUGCUUCUAUUUGUUUUUCUGUUCUGUUCUUGAGUUAAUUCUGGUCUUUUCAAAUUACUUAAGAAUAAUUCACAUAUUCUUCUAUAUCCUGGUGGUCAACGCGAGGCUCUGCAUUAUAAGGUGCAUCAAGUUUCCAAAAUUGUACUCUCAAAGAAUCCAUGAGUUGAUGUGCAUACAGUAGUUAAAUAUUUCUGUACUUUUGUGACAUCAAAACAUGCUUGUCAAAAUUUGAGGGCAGCUCUGAUUGUGUUCCCAUUUGUUGUUUAGGGGGAAGAGUACAAGGUAAUUUGGCCGGAUCAUCCAGAGUUUGUGCGUAUGGCGGCGCGAUUUGGCACUACAAUCGUGCCAUUUGGUACUGUGGGCGAAGAUGAUAUAGCUGAUGUAGGUUUCUUCUUUUUUCUAUAAUGAUUUCUUUACUCCCUUUUUUUAGUAUUUAUUUUUUGAUUAAUGUUGCUAUACUCAAUACUACUUAAGCCUUGGAGGGAUUUUUGGCUUUCAUAAUCACUAAAACAACAUUUAUAAACACUUUAAGAAUGUGAUCAACACAAAAUAAAUUACAGUAAUUUGAGAAUCAGCCUAGUUAGCCAGUGCAAUUUGAGGAGAACUUCACUAUCUUCAGCUCUUUUUUAACUAUUUGUUUUUCAUAAGAAAAUAUCAGCUAUAUAUCCUUUCUUUUUACUUGCAAACCUAGAACAUGAUGAAUUAAUUGUGCUCACAUCUUGAUUUUACAGAUACUUCUUGACUUCAAUGACUUAGCGAAGAUCCCUUAUUUCAUAGAGUAUGUCAGAGAAUUGCAGCGAGGCUUGGUAAAGUUCAAGUAAUUGCUUUUCAUCUUAAAAUUCAGGCUGCUUGAUUGUUUUGUAAAUAUCACAUGAUUGAAUAUGUAUAUUUAAUAUAGUUAAUAUGUCAAAGUUGUGGAGUUGUUAAUAACAAUCAAACAAUUUUCAGAGAUGAGAUAAGUGGUGAGGUAGCAAGCAGAGAUAUAGCUCCACCAUUGAUUCUUCCAAAAUUGCCUGGAAGAUUCUACUAUCUAUUUGGGAAGCCAAUAAGCACAAAAGGGAUGGAGAACAUGCUUAAAGACAGAGAAGCUGCCAACAAACUAUGAAACAGAUAAUGAGGACACCUGAAAACUGCUGUCUAGAAGAUGCACUUCAUGUUAUUUGCUCUGCAGAAGAAAUUUCUUGUGCGGAUAUUCUCAUUAACUGUUUUAGUGUCUAAUGCAAAUUUGUUUCUUCAUUAAGUAUUGAUAUAGUGUUGUACCUGUAAAAUGA